Pangasianodon gigas (Mekong giant catfish) is the source of this 74-nucleotide non-coding RNA. NCBI's taxonomy places the organism in Eukaryota, Metazoa, Chordata, Actinopteri, Siluriformes, Pangasiidae. The record is from the annotation of a GenBank genome assembly.
GUCACUGUGACCUAGUUAGUUAAAGCAGCUGUCUAGUAAACAGAAGAGCCUGGGUUUGAAUCCUAGCAAUGUCU